RNA transcript from Symsagittifera roscoffensis, 1521 nucleotides. RefSeq lists it as uncharacterized. Lineage: Eukaryota; Metazoa; Xenacoelomorpha; Acoela; Convolutidae. The record is from RefSeq and is a predicted model, not a curated record. The transcript is spliced from 4 exons.
UGUUUUGGACUAAAUUGUGUUGGAAGUUGUUUUGGACUAAGUUUUGCCUAUUUUUUUGCUUUUUUUUCGUGCUGUUCAUUACACAUUUUUGGAAAUUGUUUUCUUUGUAAAUUGUAGGAGUGUUCAGUGCAGUGCCAACACACAAUCUUGGGACGACAAAUCCUAGAAGUUCGAUUUCAGUCGGGACCUGUUUUUUUAUGGAAACUGAAAGUUUCGAAUAUUGUAGUCUUUCAUGUCUGCUAACUUUUGUCGGCAUAGGUUCCGCAGAAAGGUUCGUUUUCCAUAAGCAUUUUGAAAGCUCUUUGUAAAGUUUAUAGUGGUGCAGGUAGUUUUUUUUGCAGGAAUUUUUCGUCCUUUCUUGCAAGUUUUGUAACCUUUUUUGACGUUUUUUGAAGCUUUUUUUUUUAAAUUUUCGAUUUGUCUUUUCAUUUGUUGGUAAUUGUAGUCAUCAAUUUUUGUAUCUCAAGUGAAGCGAAGCUCCGCAUCGCCUCUUUGUGAAAGAAUCGUUUCUGUUUUCAAACAUCUUCUGCACGUUGUCCCGUCGAUUUUCUCUGGAUAGGUACGUGAAGUACUUCGUCCAACAUAAAAACUUAGUCCUGUUCUUAUUUCCAAAUAUCCAUGAGAUAAACAGAAAUACUCAUUUGCAGUAUCUGAAAUGAGAGUUUGACUUCUUCCGCUCGUUAUUCUAUUAAACUAAGUGACGUUUCCAAUAUGGUUUUGGGUGCAGUAAGAUAUGCAUUGACUUGAAUUUAAAUGUUUAGUUCUAAUCUGGUUGCUCUAUACUUAAAAGGUGUGGCACUUGGCCAGCGUGGUGGUUGGUGGGUCCAAAUUCUCCGUAUGGGGGUGAAAUUGAUAUUAUCGAGGGUGUUAAUAUGCAAACUCACGAUGACACUACCUUACACACGGGACCAGGAUGUGAUUUUACAAACGUAUCUCGGAACUUCUCAGGAAAUAUAGUCAGUUUCCAAGACUGCGAUUCUACCAAAACUUCGGGAUGUACAAUAUCAAGCGACAACAUAAAUUCGUACGGAGCCCAUUUGAAUUCAAGAAAUGGAGGACUAUAUGCUCUUGAAUGGACUUCUGAUGGUGUCUUUUCGUGGUUCUGGACCGAAGGCGAAAUUCCUAGCGAUGCUCUUGGAAACAACCCAAACCCCGAGACAUGGGGUGAGGCCUACGCCAGUUUCCCUUUCGGAAGCUAUUGUCCCCCUUCAAAUUUCGAGAACCAGACAUUAAUCUUAAAUUUGGACUUCUGCGGGGACUGGGCUGGCAAUGUGUUCGAAUCUGACUGUCCUGGUAAAGGCACUUGUGUUGAUUACGUCAUGAAUAAUCCACAAGAGUUUCAAGAUGCGUACUGGAACAUCCAUUGGAUGAAAGUUUUCUGUUAGAUUUUCAGAGGUUUACUUGAGGAUCUACGAUGAGUUAUGUUUGAUUUUAAAAGAGUAUAACGGAUUUAUAACUAUGGCAUUAAUAAAACUUCCACAUAUCUUGUAUAGCAGUUGGUAUGUCUGACCAAUGAAUAUU